UACGUAGACCUCAAGCGUUAUCCGGAUUUAUUGGGCGUAAAGCGUGUGUAGGAGGUUUUGUAAGUCAGACGUUAAAUUCCAGGGCCUAACUUUGGAGCUGCGUUUGAUACUGCAUAACUUGAGGGUACUAGAGGUGCAUGGAACACAUGGUGUAGGGGUGACAUCCGUUGAUAUCAUGUGGAACACCAAAGGCGAAGGCAAUGCACUGGGGUACUCCUGACUCUGAGACACGAAAGCGUGGGGAGCAAAAAGG
RNAcentral lists this ribosomal RNA (253 nucleotides) under uncultured bacterium. RNAcentral's name for it is "partial 16S ribosomal RNA". It matches the Rfam family "Bacterial small subunit ribosomal RNA", at positions 524 to 776 of the family's 1533-position model. The record is from RNAcentral.